This 497-nucleotide ribosomal RNA is filed under the name uncultured bacterium. RNAcentral describes it as "partial 16S ribosomal RNA". It matches the Rfam family "Bacterial small subunit ribosomal RNA", at positions 28 to 507 of the family's 1533-position model. The record is from RNAcentral.
GACGAACGCUGGCGGCGUGCCUAAUACAUGCAAGUUGAGCGCUGAAGGUUGGUACUUGUACCAACUGGAUGAGCAGCGAACGGGUGAGUAACGCGUGGGGAAUCUGCCUUUGAGCGGGGGACAACAUUUGGAAACGAAUGCUAAUACCGCAUAAAAACUUUAAACACAAGUUUUAAGUUUGAAAGAUGCAAUUGCAUCACUCAAAGAUGAUCCCGCGUUGUAUUAGCUAGUUGGUGAGGUAAAGGCUCACCAAGGCGAUGAUACAUAGCCGACCUGAGAGGGUGAUCGGCCACAUUGGGACUGAGACACGGCCCAAACUCCUACGGGAGGCAGCAGUAGGGAAUCUUCGGCAAUGGACGAAAGCCUGACCGAGCAACGCCGCGUGAGUGAAGAAGGUUUUCGGAUCGUAAAACUCUGUUGGUAGAGAAGAACGUUGGUGAGAGUGGAAAGCUCAUCAAGUGACGGUAACUACCCAGAAAGGGACGGCUAACUACGUG